UACGAAGGGGGCUAGCGUUGCUCGGAAUCACUGGGCGUAAAGCGCACGUAGGCGGAUUGCUAAGUCAGGGGUGAAAUCCUGGAGCUCAACUCCAGAACUGCCUUUGAUACUGGCGAUCUUGAGUCCGGGAGAGGUGAGUGGAACUGCGAGUGUAGAGGUGAAAUUCGUAGAUAUCGGGAGGAACACCAGUGGCGAAGGCGGCGAUCUGGACAGAUAUUGACGCUGAGGUGCGAAAGCGUGGGGAGCAAACAGG
Molecule: ribosomal RNA, 253 nt
Filed under: uncultured bacterium
Lineage: Bacteria
Description: partial 16S ribosomal RNA
Rfam family: Bacterial small subunit ribosomal RNA
Source: RNAcentral